RNAcentral lists this ribosomal RNA (492 nucleotides) under uncultured bacterium. RNAcentral describes it as "partial 16S ribosomal RNA". It matches the Rfam family "Bacterial small subunit ribosomal RNA", at positions 29 to 507 of the family's 1533-position model. The record is from RNAcentral.
AUUGAACGCUGGCGGCAUGCUUUACACAUGCCAGUCGAGCGGUAACAGGCCUUCGGGUGCUGACGAGUGGCGAACGGGUGAGUAAUGCAUCGGAACGUACCCAGAGGUGGGGGAUAACGCAGCGAAAGCUGUGCUAAUACCGCAUGUGAUCUGAGGAUGAAAGCGGGGGACCGAGCAGCAAUGUUUGGCCUCGCGCCUUUGGAGCGGCCGAUGUCGGAUUAGCUAGUUGGUGGGGUAAAGGCCUACCAAGGCGACGAUCCGUAGCUGGUCUGAGAGGACGACCAGCCACACUGGGACUGAGACACGGCCCAGACUCCUACGGGAGGCAGCAGUGGGGAAUGUUGGACAAUGGGCGCAAGCCUGAUCCAGCAAUGCCGCGUGCGGGAAGAAGGCCUUCGGGUUGUAAACCGCUUUUGGCAGGAACGAAACGGUGUCCGCUAAUACCGGGCGCUAAUGACGGUACCUGCAGAAUAAGCACCGGCUAACUACGUG